This 629-nucleotide ribosomal RNA is filed under the name Dujonia zeylanoides. Its description in RNAcentral is "[Candida] zeylanoides partial large subunit ribosomal RNA". It matches the Rfam family "Eukaryotic large subunit ribosomal RNA", at positions 22 to 667 of the family's 3401-position model. The record is from RNAcentral. Lineage: Eukaryota; Fungi; Ascomycota; Pichiomycetes; Serinales; Debaryomycetaceae.
UACCCGCUGAACUUAAGCAUAUCAAUAAGCGGAGGAAAAGAAACCAACAGGGAUUGCCUCAGUAACGGCGAGUGAAGCGGCAAAAGCUCAAAUUUGAAAUCUAGCACUUUCAGUGUUCGAGUUGUAAUUUGAAGAAGGUAACUUUGGUUUUGGCUCUUGUCUAUGUUCCUUGGAACAGGACGUCACAGAGGGUGAGAAUCCCGUGCGAUGAGAUGCCCAAUUCCAUGUAAAGUGCUUUCGAAGAGUCGAGUUGUUUGGGAAUGCAGCUCUAAGUGGGUGGUAAAUUCCAUCUAAAGCUAAAUAUUGGCGAGAGACCGAUAGCGAACAAGUACAGUGAUGGAAAGAUGAAAAGAACUUUGAAAAGAGAGUGAAAAAGUACGUGAAAUUGUUGAAAGGGAAGGGCUUGAGAUCAGACUUGGUAUUUUGCGUUCCCUUCCUUUUUGGUUGGGUUCCUCGCAGUUUACUGGGCCAGCAUCGGUUUGGAUGGUAGGAUAAUGACAUUGGAAUGUAGCUUUACUUCGGUGAAGUGUUAUAGACUUUGUUGAUACUGCCUAUCUAGACCGAGGACUGCGUCUUUGACUAGGAUGCUGGCGUAAUGAUCUUAAGCCGCCCGUCUUGAAACACGGACC